Molecule: ribosomal RNA, 316 nt
Filed under: Rahnella aquatilis
Lineage: Bacteria; Pseudomonadati; Pseudomonadota; Gammaproteobacteria; Enterobacterales; Yersiniaceae
Description: bacterial SSU rRNA
Rfam family: Bacterial small subunit ribosomal RNA
Source: RNAcentral
AGUCGAGCGGUACAGGRRACUUGUCUCSGGUGACGAGCGGCGGACGGUUGAGUAUGUCUGGGAACUGCCUGAUGGAGGGGGAUAACUACUGGAAACGGUAGCUAAUACCGCAUGAUGUCGCAAGACAAAGUGGGGGACUUUCGGGCCUYCMCGCCAUCGGAUGUGCCCAGAUGGGAUUAGCUAGUAGGUGAGGUAAUGGCUCACCUAGGCGACGAUCCCUAGCUGGUCUGAGAGGAUGACCAGCCACACUGGAACUGAGACACGGUCCAGACUCCUACGGGAGGCAGCAGUGGGGAUAUUGCACAAUGGGCGCAAG